UACGUAGGGCGCAAGCGUUAUCCGGAAUUAUUGGGCGUAAAGAGCUCGUAGGCGGUUUGUCGCGUCUGCCGUGAAAGUCCGGGGCUCAACUCCGGAUCUGCGGUGGGUACGGGCAGACUAGAGUGAUGUAGGGGAGACUGGAAUUCCUGGUGUAGCGGUGAAAUGCGCAGAUAUCAGGAGGAACACCGAUGGCGAAGGCAGGUCUCUGGGCCGAUACUGACGCUGAGGAGCGAAAGCGUGGGGGAGCGAACAGG
Molecule: ribosomal RNA, 254 nt
Filed under: uncultured bacterium
Lineage: Bacteria
Description: partial 16S ribosomal RNA
Rfam family: Bacterial small subunit ribosomal RNA
Source: RNAcentral